Molecule: ribosomal RNA, 327 nt
Filed under: uncultured bacterium
Lineage: Bacteria
Description: bacterial SSU rRNA
Rfam family: Bacterial small subunit ribosomal RNA
Source: RNAcentral
UGCGCAGGCGGUUUCGCAAGUCAGAUGUGAAAUCCCCGGGCUUAACCUGGGAACUGCAUUUGAAACUACGAGGCUAGAGUGUGUCAGAGGGGGUAGAAUUCCACGUGUAGCAGUGAAAUGCGUAGAGAUGUGGAGGAAUACCGAUGGCGAAGGCAGCCCCCUGGGAUAACACUGACGCUCAUGCACGAAGGCGUGGGGAGCAAACAGGAUUAGAUACCCUGGUAGUCCACGCCCUAAACGAUGUCAACUAGUUGUCGGGGAUUCAUUUCCUGGUAACGCAGCUAACGCGUGAAGUUGACCGCCUGGGGAUACGGUCGCAAGAUUAAA